UUUCCAGAGAUGGAUUGGUGCCUUCGGGAACCGUGAGACAGGUGCUGCAUGGCUGUCGUCAGCUCGUGUUGUGAAAUGUUGGGUUAAGUCCCGCAACGAGCGCAACCCUUAUCCUUUGUUGCCAGCGAUUCGGUCGGGAACUCAAAGGAGACUGCCAGUGAUAAACUGGAGGAAGGUGGGGAUGACGUCAAGUCAUCAUGGCCCUUACGACCAGGGCUACACACGUGCUACAAUGGCGCAUACAAAGAGAAGCGACCUCGCGAGAGCAAGCGGACCUCAUAAAGUGCGUCGUAGUCCGGAUUGGAGUCUGCAACUCGACUCCAUGAAGUCGGAAUCGCUAGUAAUCGUGGAUCAGAAUGCCACGGUGAAUACGUUCCCGGGCCUUGUACACACCGCCCGUCACACCAUGGGAGUGGGUUGCAAAAGAAGUAGGUAGCUUAACCUUCGGGAGGGCGCUUACCACUUUGUGAUUCAUGACUGGGGUGAAGUCGUAACAAGGUAACCGUAGGGGAACCUGCGGUUGGAUCACCUCCUUACCUUAAAGAAGC
RNAcentral lists this ribosomal RNA (548 nucleotides) under Salmonella enterica subsp. enterica serovar Oranienburg. Its description in RNAcentral is "bacterial SSU rRNA". It matches the Rfam family "Bacterial small subunit ribosomal RNA", at positions 997 to 1533 of the family's 1533-position model. RNAcentral also lists the same sequence under 1 other name. Lineage: Bacteria; Pseudomonadati; Pseudomonadota; Gammaproteobacteria; Enterobacterales; Enterobacteriaceae. The record is from RNAcentral.